Cygnus olor (mute swan) is the source of this 760-nucleotide long non-coding RNA. RefSeq lists it as uncharacterized. The record is from RefSeq and is a predicted model, not a curated record. Lineage: Eukaryota; Metazoa; Chordata; Aves; Anseriformes; Anatidae. The transcript is spliced from 3 exons.
GGAAGUCACACUAGCCAAGCUGGGGUACCUGGAGCAUAGACCACAUAAGGACAAAAGAACAGGUCUGAACUUAAAUGCAACUCAGGAGCCAAGGCAGGGGGAGGCUUCCCACAGCUGUUUUCAUAGGAGCCUGAUGCAGGUUACACUGCUGUACUGCAUCAGAGCAUAGCUUGGCUGGCACCUAAAGUCCACAGGGGUGGGAAGAAAAGGCUGUGUGGAGGACGGAGGUUUGAUUGUGUGCUUAGCUGACUGUGUGCUUAGCUCUAAGAUGGCGUUCCCUGUCUUUGGGGUGGUAGCAUGAGUUUAGGAAACUCCAGUAGCCACUUGCAGUUUCAUCACUGUAGAAAUGUCAGAUAGCAUGAGCAGCUUGGUUACUGCAAUCUGAUACUGAUGGAUGCUACAAUAAAGCCAUUGUACUUCACUGUUAUUUACCCAGAGCCGUGAUAUGGAUUUGGAAGUUUGAAUAUAAAGAAGACACUAUAUCCAGCAGAUAUCAUUGUGAAAAUACCUGUAGGAACACUUACGUAACAAAAGCAGGCAGUAAUAAAGUUUAGGAAAGAAAAGAAGACAUUAAACUGAUGAGAUGCUGUGUAAGAUAAAAUGCUCUUGAGCCUGAGUUAAGCUCAUUAAAGCUAAGGUGGGAGAAAAAGUGAAUCAUCUGUGUUCUGCCAAAAGACUGGAGUAAUCAAAAGAGAUGAGGAUGCUGAAAUCUAUUGUGAUAGUUCUGUACAACGUAAUUCAGAGGUUCUCUAGCUACAGG